This 65-nucleotide transfer RNA is filed under the name Amblyomma triguttatum (ornate kangaroo tick). Its description in RNAcentral is "tRNA-Pro". Lineage: Eukaryota; Metazoa; Arthropoda; Arachnida; Ixodida; Ixodidae. The record is from RNAcentral.
CAGAAAAUAGUAUAAGUAUAUGUACAUAAAUUUUGGAGAUUUAAAGAGAAAGAUUUCUUUUCUGA